GAUGAACGCUGGCGGCGUGCUUAACACAUGCAAGUCGAACGAUGAAGCCCAGCUUGCUGGGUGGAUUAGUGGCGAACGGGUGAGUAACACGUGAGUAACCUGCCCUUAACUCUGGGAUAAGCCUGGGAAACUGGGUCUAAUACCGGAUAGGAGCGUCCACCGCAUGGUGGGUGUUGGAAAGAUUUAUCGGUUUUGGCUGGACUCGCGGCCUAUCAGCUUGUUGGUGAGGUAAUGGCUCACCAAGGCGACGACGGGUAGCCGGCCUGAGAGGGUGACCGGCCACACUGGUACUGAGACACGGCCCAGACUCCUACGGGAGGCAGCAGUGGGGAAUAUUGCCCAAUGGGCGCAAGCCUGAUGCAGCGACGCCGCGUGAGGGAUGACGGCCUUCGGGUUGUAAACCUCUUUCAGUAGGGAAGAAGCGAAAGUGACGGUACCUGCAGAAGAAGCACCGGCUAACUACGUG
This 466-nucleotide ribosomal RNA is filed under the name uncultured bacterium. Its description in RNAcentral is "partial 16S ribosomal RNA". It matches the Rfam family "Bacterial small subunit ribosomal RNA", at positions 28 to 507 of the family's 1533-position model. The record is from RNAcentral.